This 249-nucleotide ribosomal RNA is filed under the name uncultured bacterium. RNAcentral's name for it is "partial 16S ribosomal RNA". It matches the Rfam family "Bacterial small subunit ribosomal RNA", at positions 8 to 252 of the family's 1533-position model. The record is from RNAcentral.
AGAGUUUGAUCCUGGCUCAGGACGAACGCUGGCGGCGUGCCUAACACAUGCAAGUCGAACGGGGGAUGGGGAGCUUGCUCCCCAAACCUAGUGGCGGACGGGCGAGUAACGCGUGAGCAACCUGCCUUUCAGAGGGGGACAACGGCUGGAAACGGCCGCUAAUACCGCAUAACACAGCGGGGUCACAUGGCCCUGCUGUCAAAGGAGCAAUCCGCUGAAAGAUGGGCUCGCGUCCGAUUAGCUAGAUGG